AAUGUACAUGUUUCCGAGAUUCAAAUCUGAAUACAAACAACCAUGUACACUGUAAAAGUCAGAACAUUAAAUGCAUGACUGAACAGAAAAAGUUCAUCCAUAAUGUGACCAGGGAAAACUUUGCAGGGAAAAGCAAAACCUGUAAUUACACAGUCUAUAUAAUGACUGUAGUUAAGAUGAAUAUGAUGAAUGAUUCCCCGGAACACAGCCGUGUAAAGAUCCCUGCGCCCAAGCUGUCUGAGUAUGAUCGACCCAUAGACGUUUUUGUCCCGAUUGAACCAUUUCUGAACGUCUCUGAGCAGCUCAGUAAAGUUAGCGUAGUGAGAUAUCGCUCAUCUGAAGAUUUUAUAGGUAACUCGACAACCAUUUUGAAAUCCCAAGUCAUUUGUGUUGAAAUACUGGACCGUGAGCUUAAGAACUUGUCCAAUCGACUUGUUAUCAAUUUUACAGUGAACAGUAGUGAAAUAAAUGAAAACCAAACACUGUCGUGUCAGUUCUAUAAUGAAACAGGGGAAAACUGGGAGGUCACGGGGUCAUUCACCAACCUGUUUUUGAGCAGUAACGUUGUAUCCUGCUCUUAUGAUCACAUGACCCCUUUUGCCAUACUUCUGGUUGACCUGAAUGUGACCCAAAUUGAUCAACAGCAGUGGAAUGUCCUAUCCUAUAUUAGUUACAUAGGUUGUAGUCUUUCAGCCCUUUUCUCAGCGGUGACCAUCUUCAUCUAUGCUUUCAUAAAGAGCUCAAACAAAGACAGUUCCAUCCAUAUCCACGUGUCUCUGAGUGCGGCCCUUUUCCUUCUCAACAUCAGCUUCUUGUUCACUGAAUGGGGAGCCACAUGGUCUCAAAACAUUGCAUGUGUCUUCAUAGCAGUGAUAAUAGAGUACAGCCUCUUGUCCUGUUUCUCUUGGAUGGCCAUUGAAGCAUUACAAUUGUUCUUGCUUCUAAUCAAAGUGUUUAACAUCCGCAUCAAGCACUACAUGAUCAAGCUGUCACUGUUUGGAUGGGGACUGCCUGCUGUGCUUGUUGGAGGGAGUCUGUGUGUUUAUGGUACUACGCCUUUUUAUGGCACCACAGAAAUAAAAUUAUCAGACACAAAAAUAACAAAGAAAUUAUGCUGGAUUACCGACAUCCGCUUUCUGUAUGGCAUGAACAUCAGCUAUUUCUCCAUAACGUUCCUGUUCAACACGUGCAUUCUGGUGGCAGUGACGCAUCAGAUCUAUAAGCUCCGGCGCAAUAAUGUCAGCGGUAGCAAUCUUCCAUCUUGUAAGGAUAUAUGCACUGUCCUGGGCCUGGCCCUUCUGUUGGGAAUGACAUGGGGUUUGGCUUUCUUCACAUCAGGAUACACAAACUACCCCGUUCUUUACCUCUUCUGUAUCUUUAACACCCUGCAAGGGUUGUUUCUGUUCCUGUGGGUCUAUCAUACAUUGCAGAGGAAAAAGUGCCUGGAGGCACAAACUACGACUGUGUCUGAGCCAAAUACCUAAUACCUAUGAAAACAGGUUUGCCCAGUGAUCAGAUGUUCCAUUGAUGUCUUUUACUGGUAUUGUGAUUAUACAUCAUAUACUGAUUGAUAUAAAAGCAGGCACUGCAUUAAUUUAUCACAAGAUUAAGUGAUCACAAGAUUUCAAACCAAAUUCAUAACCUCACUCUGUAACCAUUAGUUUCAUAAUCAGUUUCACAGUUCACUUUUUUUCCAAUAGCGCCAAUGAGUUCCUUAUUUUCAGCAUUACAAAAGUAAAUGAUGCAUGUUGUUUUUGAGGAACAUAGCAUGUGUAUAAUAUGUUUAAUGGUCUAAUACAUAAAUAGAGUAAUUCUCUAUCACCUCAAAUUUUUCCUAAACUGACCUGAUCUGAUGUUAGUUUUACAAAUAAAACAAUACAUAAACUAGUAGAAGUAUCUGUAUUCUGCCUGUUUGUUAUCACUCUGCAUAUUAAUUCAUUUCUAAGCUGAUUAUCAAGCUCUUUUGUAGUGUAUUCAUCUGAUAAUGUGUGGAAUUGUUUUUGCCCUAUCGAUGCAGCUUUACUUCCUCCUAAGUCUCUGACUUUUUUUUUUGUUCCUCAAAAUAAAACCUGUUUUGUCUGCUUUAUCUUCUGUUCUUAAAAAACAACUGUGUAAAUAAAAUGGUACCAGGUGACAUUUCUGGUUCAGUGUCAAAUAUGGUAUUAUGGACAGUAAUGAUUACGUAUCAUGUGACGUCUAUAGUUCCUUCCGAUCUAUGAGCAAACCACAAAGCAUGAAGAGAGACAUUGUUGCAUCAAGAGUAGCAGCAGUAGUGAGAUCUUAUUUUUAAAAUAUGUGUCUACUGGUUGUUCUUAGGAUUUGUAUAUUUUUCUCCAUGACACUGACCAUGACAGGAGCCAUUGAUUGUUCUCGCGUUGUUCAGUAUUGUCAACAACAGGAUUCCAACAACAACGUUCCUAUGUGUGUUGAAAGAGAAAUGAAACAUUGUGCACGCGGCCGACUUCAAAUUCAACUACCAGACUUUUAUAUAAAAAAC
Molecule: RNA transcript, 2497 nt
Organism: Tachysurus fulvidraco (yellow catfish)
Lineage: Eukaryota; Metazoa; Chordata; Actinopteri; Siluriformes; Bagridae
Gene: adgrg3
Gene name: adhesion G protein-coupled receptor G3
Exons: 12
Source: RefSeq, a predicted model, not a curated record